UGGGGGGACUUGGGACCCCGAACUUCAGGGGCUGUUUUUUGGGCGCGGCUGUGCCCGUGGCCUAUUUUUGGCACACGGAGGCCGCCCGGCAAGUCUGGUGCCAUUCCGAGUCCCGCGGACGAACUUCGCCCACGCCCCCCGCCAAGGCUAUAGCCCACCCGUUUUUUGGCCAUUUUUCCGGUGGGGGGUCUUUGGACCCCGACCUUCGGGGGCUGUUUUUUGGGCGCGGCUGUGCCCGUGGCCUAUUUUUGGCACACGGAGGCCGCCCGGCAAGUCUGGUGCCAUUCCGAGGCCCGCGGACGAACUUCGCCCACGCCCCCCACCAAGGCUAUAGCCCACCCGUUUUUUGGUCAUUUUUCCGCUGGGGGGUCUUGGGACCCCGACCUUCGGGGGCUGGUUUUUGGGCGCGGCUGUGCCCGUGGCCUAUUUUUGGCACACGGAGGCCGUCCGCCAAGUCUGGAGCCAUUCCGAGUCCCGCGGACGAACUUCGCCCACGCCCCCCCCCAAGGCUAUAGCCCACUCGUUUUUUGGCUAUUUUUCCGCUGGGGGGUCUUGGGACCCCGACCUUCGGGGGCUGUUUUUUGGGCGCGGCUGUGCCCGUGGCCUAUUUUUGGCACACGGAGGCCGCCCGCCAAGUCUGGUGCCCUUCCGAGUCCCGCGGACGAACUUCGCCCACGCCCCCCACCAAGGCUAUAGCCCACCCGUUUUUUGGCCAUUUUUCCGCUGGGGGGUCUUGGGACCCCGACCUUCGGGGGCUGCUUUUUGGCGCGGCUGUGCCCGUGGCCUAUUUUUGGCACACGGAGGCCGCCCGCCAAGUCUGGUGCCAUUCCGAGUCCCGCGGACGAACUUCGCCCACGCCCCCCACCAAGGAUAUAGCCCACCCGUUUUUUGGCCAUUUUUCCGCUGGGGGGUCUUGGGACCCCGNNNNNNNNNNNNNNNNNNNNNNNNNNNNNNNNNNNNNNNNNNNNNNNNNNNNNNNNNNNNNNNNNNNNNNNNNNNNNNNNNNNNNNNNNNNNNNNNNNNNNNNNNNNNNNNNNNNNNNNNNNNNNNNNNNNNNNNNNNNNNNNNNNNNNNNNNNNNNNNNNNNNNNNNNNNNNNNNNNNNNNNNNNNNNNNNNNNNNNNNNNNNNNNNNNNNNNNNNNNNNNNNNNNNNNNNNNNNNNNNNNNNNNNNNNNNNNNNNNNNNNNNNNNNNNNNNNNNNNNNNNNNNNNNNNNNNNNNNNNACGCCCCCCCACCAAGGGCUAUAGCCCACCCGUUUUUUGGCCAUUUUUCCGCUGGGGGGUCUUGGGACCCCGACCUUCGGGAGCUGGUUUUUGGGCGCGGCUGUGCCCGUGGCCUAUUUUUGGCACACGGAGGCCGCCCGCCAAGUCUGGUGCCAUUCCGAGUCCCGCGGACGAACUUCGCCCACGCCCCCCACCAAGGCUAUAGCCCACCCGUUUUUUGGCCAUUUUUCCGCUGGGGGGUCUUGGGACCCCGACCUUCGGGGGCUGGUUUUUGGACGCGGCUGUGCCCGUGGCCUAUUUUUGGCACACGGAGGCCGCCCGCCAAGUCUGGGGCCAUUCCGAGUCCCACGGACGAACUUCGCCCACGCCCCCCACCAAGGCUAUAGCCCACCCGUUUUUUGGCCAUUUUUCCGCUGGGGGGUCUUGGGACCCCGACCUUCGGGAGCUGGUUUUUGGGCGCGUCUGUGCCCGUGGCCUAUUUUGGGCACACGGAGGCCGCCCGCCAAGUCUGGUGCCAUUCCGAGUCCCGCGGACGAACUUCGCCCACGCCCCCCACCAAGGCUAUAGCCCACCCGUUUUUUGGCAUUUUUCCGCUGGGGGGUCUUGGGACCCCGACCUUCGGGUGCUGUAUUUUGGGCGCGGCUGUGCCCGCGGCGUAUUUUUGGCACACGGAGGCGGCCUGCCAAGUCUGGUGCCAUUCCGAGUCCCGCGGACGAACUUCGCCCACGCCCCCCACCAAGGCUAUAGCCCACCCGUUUUUUGGCAUUUUUCCGCUGGGGGGUCUUGGGACCCCGACCUUCGGGUGCUGUAUUUUGGGCGCGGCUGUGCCCGCGGCGUAUUUUUGGCACACGGAGGCGGCCUGCCAAGUCUGGUGCCAUUCCGAGUCCCGCGGACGAACUUCGCCCACGCCCCCCACCAAGGCUAUAGCCCACCCGUUUUUUGGCAUUUUUCCGCUGGGGGGUCUUGGGACCCCGACCUUCGGGGGCUGGUUUUUUGGCGCGGCUGUGCCCGUGGCCUAUUUUUGGCACACGGAGGCCGCCCGCCAAGUCUGGUGCCAUUCCGAGUCCCGCGGACGAACUUCGCCCACGCCCCCCACCAAGGCUAUAGCCCACCCGUUUUUUGGCCAUUUUUCCGCUGGGGGGUCUUGGGACCCCGAACUUCGGGGGCUGUUUUUUUGGCGCGGCUGUGCCCGUGGCCUAUUUUUGGCACACGGCGGCCGCCCGCCAAGUCUGGUGCCAUUCCGAGUCCUGCGGACGAACUUCGCCCACGCCCCCCACCAAGGCUAUAGCCCACCCCGUUUUUUGGACAUUUUUCCGCUGGGGGGUCUUGGGACCCCGACCUUCGGGGGCUGUUUUCUGGGCGCAGCUGUGCUCGUGGCCUAUUUUUGGCACACGGAGGCCGCCCGCCAAUUGUGGUGCCAUUCCGAGUCCCGCGGAACGAACUUCGCCCACGCCCCCCACCAAGGCUAUAGCCCACCCGUUUUUUGGCCAUUUUUCCGCUGGGGGGUCUUGGGACCCCGACCUUCGGGGGCUGUUUUUUGGGCGCGGCUGUGCCCGUGGCCUAUUUUUGGCACACGGAGGCCGCCCGCCAAGUCUGGUGCCAUUCCGAGUCCCGCGGACGAACUUCGCCCACGCCCCCCACCAAGGCUAUAGCCCACCCGUUUUUUGGCCAUUUUUCCGCUGGGGGGUCUUGGGACCCCGACCUUCGGUGGCUGGUUUUUGGGCGCGGCUGUGCCCGUGGCCUAUUUUUGGCACACGGAGGCCGCCCGCCAAGUCUGGUGCCAUUCCGAGUCCCGCGGACGAACUUCGCCCACGCCCCCCACCAAGGCUAUAGCCCACCCGUUUUUUGGCCAUUUUUCCGCUGGGGGGUCUUGGGACCCCGACCUUCGGGGGCUGUUUUUUGGGCGCGGCUGUGCCCGUGGCCUAUUUUUGGCACACGGAGGCCGCCCGCCAAGUCUGGUGCCAUUCCGAGUCCCGCGGACGAACUUCGCCCACGCCCCCCACCAAGGCUAUAGCCCACCCGUUUUUUGGCCAUUUUUCCGCUGGGGGGUCUUGGGACCCCGACCUUCGGGGGCUGUUUUUUGGGCGCGGCUGUGCCCGUGGCCUAUUUUUGGCACACGGAGGCCGCCCGCCAAGUCUGGUGCCAUUCCGAGUCUCGCGGACGAACUUCGCCCACGCCCCCCACCAAGGGUAUAGCCCACCCGUUUUUUGCCCAUUUUUCCGCUGGGGGCUCUUGGGACCCCGACCUUCGGGGGCUGUUUUUUGGGCACGGCUGUGCCCGUGGCCUAUUUUUGGCACACGGAGGCCGCCCGCCAAGUCUGGUGCCAUUCGGAGUCCCGCGGACGAACUUCGCCCACGCCCCCCACCAAGGCUAUAGCCCACCCGUUUUUUGGCCAUUUUUCCGCUGGGGGGUCUUGGGAGCCCGACCUUCGGGGGCUGUUUUUUGGGCGCGGCUGUGCCCCUGGCCUAUUUUUGGCACACGGAGGCCGCCCGCCAAGUCUGGUGCCAUUCCGAGUCCCGCGGACGAACUUCGCCCACGUCCCCCACCAAGGCUAUAGCCCACCCGUUUUUUGGCCAUUUUUCCGCUGGGGGGUCUUGGGACCCCGACCUUCGGGGGCUGUUUUUUGGGCGCGGCUGUGCCCGUGGCCUAUUUUUGGCACACGGAGGCCGCCCGCCAAGUCUGGUGCCAUUCCGAGUCCCGCGGACGAACUUCGCCCACGGCCCCCACCAAGGCUAUAGCCCACCUGUUUUUUGGCCAUUUUUCCGCUGGGGGGUCUUGGGACCCCGAACUUCGAGGGCUGUUUUUUGGGCGCGGCUGUGCCCGUGGCAUAUUUUUGGCACACGGAGGCCGCCCGCCAAGUCUGGUGCCAUUCCGAGUCCCGCGGACGAAUUUCGCCCACGCCCCCCACCAAGGCUAUAGCCCACCUGUUUUUUGGCCAUUUUUCCGCUGGGGGGUCUUGGGACCCCGAACUUCGAGGGCUGUUUUUUGGGCGCGGCUGUGCCCGUGGCAUAUUUUUGGCACACGGAGGCCGCCCGCCAAGUCUGGUGCCAUUCCGAGUCCCGCGGAUGAAUUUCGCCCACGCCCCCCACCAAGGCUAUAGCCCACCCGUUUUUUGGCCAUUUUUCCGCUGGGGGGUCUUGGGACCCCGACCUUCAGGGGCUGUUUUUUGGGCGCGGCUGUGCCCCUGGCCUAUUUUUGGCACACGGAGGCCGCCCGCCAAGUCUGGUGCCAUUCCGAGUCCCGCGGACGAACUUCGCCCACGCCCCCCACCAAGGCUAUAGCCCACCCGUUUUUUGGCCAUUUUUCCGCUGGGGGGUCUUGGGACCCCGACCUUCGGGGGCUGUUUUUUGGGCGCGGCUGUGCCCGUGGCCUAUUUUUGGCACACGGAGGCCGCCCGCCAAGUCUGGUGCCAUUCCGAGUCCCGCGGACGAACUUCGCCCACGGCCCCCACCAAGGCUAUAGCCCACCUGUUUUUUGGCCAUUUUUCCGCUGGGGGGUCUUGGGACCCCGACCUUCGGGGGCUGUUUUUUGGGCGCGGCUGUGCCCGUGGCAUAUUUUUGGCACACGGAGGCCGCCCGCCAAGUCUGGUGCCAUUCCGAGUCCCGCGGACGAACUUCGCCCACGCCCCCCACCAAGGCUAUAGCCCACCCGUUUUUUGGCCAUUUUUCCGCUGGGGGGUCUUGGGACCCCGACCUUCGGGGGCUGUUUUUUGGGCGCGGCUGUGCCCGUGGCCUAUUUUUGGCACACGGAGGCCGCCCGCCAAGUCUGGUGCCAUUCUGAGUCCCGCGGACGAACUUCGCCCACGCCCCCCACCAAGGCUAUAGCCCACCCGUUUUUUGGCCAUUUUUCCGCUGGGGGGUCUUGGGACCCCGACCUUUGGGGGCUGGUUUUUGGGCGCGGCUGUGCCCGUGGCCUAUUUUUGGCACACGGAGGCCGCCCGCCAAGUCUGGUGCCAUUCCGAGUCCCGCGGACGAACUUCGCCCACGCCCCCCACCAAGGCUACAGCCCACCCGUUUUUUGGCCAUUUUUCCGCUGGGGGGUCUUGGGACCCCGACCUUCGGGGGCUGUUUUUUGGGCGCGGCUGUGCCGGUGGCCUAUUUUUGGGACACGGAGGCCGCCCGCCAAGUCUGGUGCCAUUCCGAGUCCCGCGGACGAACUUCGCCCACGCCCCCCACUAAGGCUAUAGCCCACCCGUUUUUUGUCCAUUUUUCCGCUGGGGGGUCUUGGGACCCCGACCUUCGGGGGCUGUUUUUUGGGCGCGGCUGUGCCCGUGGCCUAUUUUUGGCACACGGAGGCCGCCCGCCAAGUCUGGUGCCAUUCCGAGUCCCGCGGACGAACUUCGCCCACGCCCCCCACCAAGGCUAUAGCCCACCCGUUUUUGGGCCAUUUUUCCGCUGGGGGGUCUUCGGACCCCGACCUUCGGGGGCUGGUUUUUGGGCGCGGCUGUGCCCGUGGCCUAUUUUUGGCACACGGAGGCCGCCCGCCAAGUCUGGUGCCAUUCCGAGUCCCGCGGACGAACUUCGCCCACGGCCCCCACCAAGGCUAUAGCCCACCCGUUUUUUGGCCAUUUUUCCGCUGGGGGGUCUUGGGACCCCGACCUUCGGGAGCUGUUUUUUGGGCGCGGCUGUGCCCGUGGCCUAUUUUUGGCACACGGAGGCCGCCCGCCAAGUCUGGUGCCAUUCCGAGUCCCGCGGACGAACUUCGCCCACGGCCCCCACCAAGGCUAUAGCCAACCCGUUUUUUGGCCAUUUUUCCGCUGGGGGGUCUUGGGACCCCGACCUUCGGGGGCUGUUUUUUGGGCGCGGCUGUGCCCGUGGCCUAUUUUUGGCACACGGAGGCCGCCCGCCAAGUCUGGUGCCAUUCCGAGUCCCGCGGACGAACUUCGCCCACGCCCCCCACCAAGGCUAUAGCCCACCCGUUUUUUGGCCAUUUUUCCGCUGGGGGGUCUUGGGACCCCGACCUUCGGGGGCUGUUUUUUGGGCGCGGCUGUGCCCGUGGCCUAUUUUUGGCACACGGAGGCCGCCCGCCACGUCUGGUGCCAUUCCGAGUCCCGCGGACGAACUUCGCCCACGGCCCCGACCAAGGCUAUAGCCCACCCGUUUUUUGGCCAUUUUUCCGCUGGGGGGUCUUGGGACCCCGACCUUCGGGGGCUGUUUUUUGGGCGCGGCUGUGCCCGUGGCCUAUUUUUGGCACACGGAGGCCGCCCGCCAAGUCUGGUGCCAUUCCGAGUCCCGCGGACGAACUUCGCCCACGCCCCCCACCAAGGCUAUAGCCCACCCGUUUUUUGGCCAUUUUUCCGCUGGGGGGUCUUGGGACCCCGACCUUCGGGGGCUGUUUUUUGGGCGCGGCUGUGCCCGUGGCCUAUUUUUGGCACACGGAGGCCGCCAGCCAAGUCUGGUGCCAUUCCGAGUCCCGCGGACGAACUUCGCCCACGCCCCCCACCAAGGCUAUAGCCCACCCGUUUUUUGGCCAUUUUUCCGCUGGGGGGUCUUGGGUCCCCGACCUUCGGGGGCUGGUUUUUCGGCGCGGCUGUGCCCGUGGCCUAUUUUCGGCACACGGAGGCCGCCCGCCAAGUCUGGAGCCAUUCCGAGUCCCGCGGACGAACUUCGCCCACGGCCCCCACCAAGGCUAUAGCCCACCCGUUUUUUGGCCAUUUUUCCGCUGGGGGGUCUUGGGACCCUGACCUUCGGGGGCUGGUUUUUGGGCGCGGCUGUGCCCGUGGCCUAUUUUUGGCACACGGAGGCCGCCCGCCAAGUCUGUUGCCAUUCCGAGUCCCGCGGACGAACUUCGCCCACGCCCCCCACCAAGGCUAUAGCCCACCCGUUUUUUGGCCAUUUUUCCGCUGGGGGGUCUUGGGACCCCGACCUUCGGGGACUGGUUUUUCGGGGCGGCUGUGCCCGUGGCCUAUUUUUGGCAAACGAAGGCCGCCCGCCAAGUCUGGUGCCAUUCCGAGUCCCGCGGACGAACUUCGCCCACGCCCCCCACCAAGGCUAUAGCCCACCCGUUUUUGGGCCAUUUUUCCGCUGGGGGGUCUUGGGACCCCGACCUUCGGGGGCUGUUUUUUGGGCGCGGCUGUGCCCGUGGCCUAUUUUUGGCACACGGAGGCCGCCCGCCAAGUCUGGUGCCAUUCCGAGUCCCGCGGACGAACUUCGCCCACGGCCCCCACCAAGGCUAUAGCCCACCCGUUUUUUGGCCAUUUUUCCGCUGGGGGGUCUUGGGACCCCGACCUUCGGGGGCUGUUUUUUGGGCGCGGCUGUGCCCGUGGCCUAUUUUUGGCACACGGAGGCCGCCCGCCAAGUCUGGUGCCAUUCCGAGUCCCGCGGACGAACUUCGCCCACGCCCCCCACCAAGGCUAUAGCCCACCCGUUUUUUGGCCAUUUUUCCGCUGGGGGGUCUUGGGACCCCGACCUUCGGGGGCUGUUUUUUGGGCGCGGCUGUGCCCGUGGCCUAUUUUUGGCACACGGAGGCCGCCCGCCAAGUCUGGUGCCAUUCCGAGUCCCGCGGACGAACUUCGCCCACGCCCCCCACCAAGGCUAUAGCCCACCCGUUUUUUGGCCAUUUUUCCGCUGGGGGGUCUUGGGACCCCGACCUUCGGGGGCUGGUUUUUGGGCGCGGCUGUGCCCGUGGCCUAUUUUUGGCACACGGAGGCCGCCCGCCAAGUCUGACGCCAUUCCGAGUCCCGCGGACGAACUUCGCCCACGCCCCCCACCAAGGCUAUAGCCCACCCGUUUUUUGGCCAUUUUUCCGCUGGGGGGUCUUGGGACCCCGAACUUCGGGGGCUGUUUUUUGGGCGCGGCUGUGCCCGUGGCCUAUUUUUUGCACACGGAGGCCGCCCGCCAAGUCUGGUGCUAUUCCGAGUCCCGCGGACGAACUUCUCCCACGCCCCCCACCAAGGCUAUAGCCCACCCGUUUUUUGGCCAUUUNNNNNNNNNNNNNNNNNNNNNNNNNNNNNNNNNNNNNNNNNNNNNNNNNNNNNNNNNNNNNNNNNNNNNNNNNNNNNNNNNNNNNNNNNNNNNNNNNNNNNNNNNNNNNNNNNNNNNNNNNNNGACGAACUUCGCCCACGGCCCCCACCAAGGCUAUAGCCCACCCGUUUUUUGGCCAUUUUUCCGCUGGGGGGUCUUGGGACCCUGACCUUCGGGGGCUGGUUUUUGGGCGCGGCUGUGCCCGUGGCCUAUUUUUGGCACACGGAGGCCGCCCGCCAAGUCUGGUGCCAUUCCGAGUCCCGCGGACGAACUUCGCCCACGCCCCCCACCAAGGCUAUAGCCCACCCGUUUUUUGGCCAUUUUUCCGCUGGGGGGUCUUGGGACCCCAACCUUCGGGGACUGGUUUUUCGGGGCGGCUGUGCCCGUGGCCUAUUUUUGGCAAACGAAGGCCGCCCGCCAAGUCUGGUGCCAUUCCGAGUCCCGCGGACGAACUUCGCCCACGCCCCCCACCAAGGCUAUAGCCCACCCGUUUUUUGGCCAUUUUUCCGCUGGGGGGUCUUCGGACCCCGAACUUCGGGGGCUGGUUUUUCGGCGCGGCUGUGCCCGUGGCCUAUCUUUGGCACACGGAGGCCGCCCGCCAAGUCUGGUGCCAUUCCGAGUCCCGCGGACGAACUUCGCCCACGCCCCCCACCAACGCUGUAGCCCACCCGUUUUUUGGCCAUUUUUCCGCUGGGGGGUCUUGGGACCCCGAACUUCGGGGGCUGUUUUUUGGGCGCGGCUGUGCCCGUGGCCUAUUUUUUGCACACGGAGGCCGCCCGCCAAGUCUGGUGCUAUUCCGAGUCCCGCGGACGAACUUCUCCCACGCCCCCCACCAAGGCUAUAGCCCACCCGUUUUUUGGCCAUUUUUCCGCAGGGGGGUCUUGGGUCCCCGACCUUCGGGGGCUAGUUUUUGGGCGCGGCUGUGCCCGUGGCCUAUUUUUGGCACACGGAGGGCGCCCGCCAAGUCUGGUGCCAUUCCGAGUCCCGCGGACGAACUUCGCCCACGCCCCCCACCAACGCUGUAGCCGACCCGUUUUUUGGCCAUUUUUCCGCUGGGGGUCUUGGGACCCCGACCUUCGGGGGUUGGUUUUUGGGCGCGGCUGUGCCCGUGGCCUAUUUUUGGCACGCGGAGGCCGCCCGCCAAGUCUGGUGCCAUUCCGAGUCCCGCGGACGAACUUCGCCCACGCCCCCCACCAAGGCUAUAGCCCACCCGUUUUUUGGCCAUUU
This 9412-nucleotide long non-coding RNA is filed under the name Citrus x clementina. Its description in RNAcentral is "Citrus clementina (C. clementina) long non-coding RNA (CCLE_LNC003735)". Lineage: Eukaryota; Viridiplantae; Streptophyta; Magnoliopsida; Sapindales; Rutaceae. The record is from RNAcentral.